RNAcentral lists this transfer RNA (80 nucleotides) under Camphorosma monspeliaca. RNAcentral describes it as "tRNA-Leu". It matches the Rfam family "tRNA". Rfam says of the family: Transfer RNA (tRNA) molecules are approximately 80 nucleotides in length. Their secondary structure includes four short double-helical elements and three loops (D, anti-codon, and T loops). Further hydrogen bonds mediate the characteristic L-shaped molecular structure. tRNAs have two regions of fundamental functional importance: the anti-codon, which is responsible for specific mRNA codon recognition, and the 3' end, to which the tRNAs corresponding amino acid is attached (by aminoacyl-tRNA synthetases). tRNAs cope with the degeneracy of the genetic code in two manners: having more than one tRNA (with a specific anti-codon) for a particular amino acid; and 'wobble' base-pairing, i.e. permitting non-standard base-pairing at the 3rd anti-codon position. The record is from RNAcentral. RNAcentral also lists the same sequence under 18 other names. Lineage: Eukaryota; Viridiplantae; Streptophyta; Magnoliopsida; Caryophyllales; Amaranthaceae.
GCCGCUAUGGUGAAAUUGGUAGACACGCUGCUCUUAGGAAGCAGUGCGAAAGCAUCUCGGUUCGAGUCCGAGUGGCGGCA